RNAcentral lists this ribosomal RNA (250 nucleotides) under uncultured bacterium. RNAcentral's name for it is "partial 16S ribosomal RNA". It matches the Rfam family "Bacterial small subunit ribosomal RNA", at positions 355 to 622 of the family's 1533-position model. The record is from RNAcentral.
UGGGGAAUAUUGGACAAUGGGCGCAAGCCUGAUCCAGCCAUGCCGCGUGAGUGAUGAAGGCCUUAGGGUUGUAAAGCUCUUUCGCCGAGGACGAUAAUGACGGUACUCGGAUAAGAAGCCCCGGCUAACUUCGUGCCAGCAGCCGCGGUAAUACGAAGGGGGCUAGCGUUGUUCGGAAUUACUGGGCGUAAAGCGUAUGCAGGCGGAUCUUUAAGUCAGGGGUGAAAUCCCGAGGCUCAACCUCGGAACU